AAAUGGAAAAUGCACAAAUUCAAAGAAUCCGACUUCUGCUCAGGCAAGCGAGCUAAAAAGUACUUCUCGCCAUGGGAGGUGAUAUCCACCGUGGUCAUGUAUACCUGUUUCGCCGUUCUGCGUAUCAUACCUCUAUUAUGCUACCUCGCUAUGGGACUAUUCUGUAUCGCCUGCCAGACCGGCUGGUGUUUUCUAGUCUGUGGAUAGAUCGGAUUUAAAAAAAAAGAAAUGGAACAGUGUCUUAAAAUCAAAGAUGAA
Molecule: long non-coding RNA, 258 nt
Organism: Aricia agestis (brown argus)
Lineage: Eukaryota; Metazoa; Arthropoda; Insecta; Lepidoptera; Lycaenidae
Exons: 3
Source: RefSeq, a predicted model, not a curated record